Aphis gossypii (cotton aphid) is the source of this 643-nucleotide long non-coding RNA. RefSeq lists it as uncharacterized. The transcript is spliced from 2 exons. NCBI's taxonomy places the organism in Eukaryota, Metazoa, Arthropoda, Insecta, Hemiptera, Aphididae. The record is from RefSeq and is a predicted model, not a curated record.
GGACUACUCCCAAAUAGUUUAAUAUAAAAUGGGUUGUGGUAGUAUUAAGAAUUAGACAAAGUUAAGCUUCACUUACGCAUAGACCGAUGACAUUGUUCUAUACUUAACAAUACAUCGAGCUUGCUUUUAUUAUAUUCAGUGAAUAAAUAACUUUAAUUUUAAAUUUCUUACACAUACGACAAAGUGGACUUCGUCGUUGAAUCGUGCUGAACCAUCUUCACCAAGACCGUUCACUACAACUAGAAGCCAGUAUAUUUUUUUUUUCAAGCAUCUCCACGCUAACAGAAAUAAUUAUAAAAUGGAAUCUCCUCAAAUCGUUUACCUCCGAUCUUUGAUUGAAGAAUUACAUUUGAAUGUUUUAGAAAACCAAAAAAGUGUUGAUCAAGAUGAGAAGAAAAAAAAAAAUAGAUAUAAGAGCUUUAAAUAAAAAAAUUAAUAAUUUAUAUAAAAAAAAAAUAAUAGAUCUAGUUGAAAUAGAUAGGUUAAGAAAGGAAAAAAGGGACGUUUUAGAUGAGUUUCAUUUUUCUUAUUAUAUUGGUGAAAAAUGUAAUAGACGUAUACGUUAUCGCUCCACAAUUUUAAAUAAUCAACUAGAAGAUUUAAUAAAUAAAUAAAUUUGUUUAAAUAAAUCUAUUUUUUUUUU